RNAcentral lists this ribosomal RNA (793 nucleotides) under Salmonella enterica subsp. enterica serovar Dublin. Its description in RNAcentral is "partial 23S ribosomal RNA". It matches the Rfam family "Bacterial large subunit ribosomal RNA", at positions 655 to 1444 of the family's 2925-position model. The record is from RNAcentral. Lineage: Bacteria; Pseudomonadati; Pseudomonadota; Gammaproteobacteria; Enterobacterales; Enterobacteriaceae.
GAAUAGGGGAGCCGGAGGGAAACCGAGUCUUAAUUGGGCGUUAAGUUGCAGGGUAUAGACCCGAAACCCGGUGAUCUAGCCAUGGGCAGGUUGAAGGUUGGGUAACACUAACUGGAGGACCGAACCGACUAAUGUUGAAAAAUUAGCGGAUGACCUGUGGCUGGGGGUGAAAGGCCAAUCAAACCGGGAGAUAGCUGGUUCUCCCCGAAAGCUAUUUAGGUAGCGCCUCGUGAAUUCAUCUCCGGGGGUAGAGCACUGUUUCGGCUAGGGGGCCAUCCCGGCUUACCAACCCGAUGCAAACUGCGAAUACCGGAGAAUGUUAUCACGGGAGACACACGGCGGGUGCUAACGUCCGUCGUGAAGAGGGAAACAACCCAGACCGCCAGCUAAGGUCCCAAAGUCAUGGUUAAGUGGGAAACGAUGUGGGAAGGCCCAGACAGCCAGGAUGUUGGCUUAGAAGCAGCCAUCAUUUAAAGAAAGCGUAAUAGCUCACUGGUCGAGUCGGCCUGCGCGGAAGAUGUAACGGGGCUAAACCAUGCACCGAAGCUGCGGCAGCGACGCUUAUGCGUUGUUGGGUAGGGGAGCGUUCUGUAAGCCUGUGAAGGUGGCCUGUGAGGGUUGCUGGAGGUAUCAGAAGUGCGAAUGCUGACAUAAGUAACGAUAAAGCGGGUGAAAAGCCCGCUCGCCGGAAGACCAAGGGUUCCUGUCCAACGUUAAUCGGGGCAGGGUGAGUCGACCCCUAAGGCGAGGCCGAAAGGCGUAGUCGAUGGGAAACGGGUUAAUAUUCCCGUAC